CCAGGCUUGAACAGCGAGUGACCAUUCCCGAAAGGGAACUUCCGCAAGGACACUCGUAGAGGUGCUGCAUGGCUGUCGUCAGCUCGUGUCGUGAGAUGUUGGGUUAAGUCCCGCAACGAGCGCAACCCUUGUCUGCUGUUGCCAUCAGGUAAUGCUGGGCACUCUGCAGAGACUGCCGGUGAUAAACCGGAGGAAGGUGGGGAUGACGUCAAGUCAGCAUGGCCUUUAUGUCUGGGGCUACACACGUGCUACAAUGGCCGGUACAAACCGUCGCAAAACCGUAAGGUGGAGCUAAUCGGAUAAAGCCGGUCUCAGUUCGGAUUGUAGGCUGCAACUCGCCUGCAUGAAGUUGGAAUCGCUAGUAAUCGCGGAUCAGCACGCCGCGGUGAAUACGUUCCCGGGCCUUGUACACACCGCCCGUCACAUCACGAAAGCCGGUUGUACUAGAAGUCGCUACAUCAACCCGCAAGGGGGAGAGGCGCCUAAGGUAUGGUCGGUGAUUGGGGUG
RNAcentral lists this ribosomal RNA (508 nucleotides) under uncultured bacterium. RNAcentral's name for it is "bacterial SSU rRNA". It matches the Rfam family "Bacterial small subunit ribosomal RNA", at positions 975 to 1482 of the family's 1533-position model. The record is from RNAcentral.